UUUUUAGCUUAAAAAAAAAUCUCUUGAACAUCUUUUUGUAAGACCACUUUAGUGACAAUGAACACUUUUAGCUUUUGCUUGCCUGAGAUGUUCUUUAUCUUUCAAUUCUGAAUGAUAACUUUGCUGGAUAGAGUAGAGUAUUCCUGGUUGGAACGUUUUUUGUUUUUGGUUUGUUUUGUUUUGUUUCCAGCACUUUAUAUGUAUCCUGCCACUCUCUUUUGAACUGCAAGGUUUCUGCUGAAUAAUUUCCUGAUAGUCUUAUGGAAGUGAAGCGGGUUUCAUUAUAUGUAACACGAUGGGUUUUUUUUUUUUUUCUUGCUGUUUUUAAGAUCUUCUUCUUGUCUUUAACAUUUGACAUUGUAGUUAUUAUGUCUUGAUGUGGGUCUCUGGCUUCGUCUUGUUUGGAACUCUCAGAAUUUCCUACAUCUGGAUGUCUGUCUCCUUCCCCAGAUUAGGGAAGUUUUCAGUCAUUAUUUUUUCAAACAAUAUCUCUGCCCCUUUCUCUCUUCCCUUUCUCCGUUCCUCUGCAAUGGGAAUGUUAGUGUAUUUGAUGUUGUCCUAGAAGCCCUUUAGCUAUCUUCACACAGCUUUCUUCUUUUUGCUCAUCUUACUGGGUGCAUCCCACUGCCUUGUCUUUGAGUUGACUGAACCUUUCUUCUGCUUCAUUUAGUCUGUUGCUGAUUCCCUCUAAUGUAUUCUUCAGCUUAGUUAUUGUAUUCUUCAGGUCUGUGAUUUUGGUUCAGUACUUUCUUAUACUGUGCGUAUCUUUGUUGAAGUUCUCAAGGUGCUCAUCCAUUCUUCUCCCAAUUUCAGUAAGCAUCUUUAUUAACAUGAUUUUGAACUCUUUGUCAGAUAAAUUAGUUAUUUUUGUUUUAUCAAGAGUUUUUCCUAAGGUUUUCUCCUGUUUUGUUUUGUUUUCAUUUAAAACGUAUUCCUCCAUUUCUUCAUUUUUCUCAACACUCUGUGGUAGUUUCUUACAGAAGAUCAGUCAUCUCUCCCAAUCUUGAAGUACUGGGCUUGUGUAGUAAUUCAACCUUGUCCCAACUCUUUGCUAUCUCUGAAACUUUUGUGUUUAUCCAAGCAGCCUAUUAUAUUUGUAAUGGCUUCCAGUAGUUGUGGAUGUGCCAAGACCUGUCAGUGUCCCUUAGGAGGAAAUCUGAGCACUGAGAUUCAGGCUACUUGGAAGCCAGACCCUCAGGCAGCAGCUUUUAAUGCAAAUAUAUACAGUCCUACGGAACUGCAAGCAUAAGCUCCCUUGGCCAGGUGAUCUGGCUUUGUUCUCUAGGUGACAACUGCAAAAACUGGGGCUCAGUCUGCUGCCUCGGCAGUGCCCUUGGGGUGGCAGCUUGCCAAGAACUUUCUCUCUUAAAGCACAGAAAUGUAAACUCACCUCCCUACCACUGGCCCUACAGCCAGGUAAUGAAGGAGCAUGCCCCAGAGAGCUGCAAACACUGCAGCACCAAAUGUAAAAACCAGGGUACCAGUCAUAUAUAAGGCUCCCUCCUAAGAGAUAGUGGUGUUCUGAAAUAUGGCAGAAGGAGAGUGCAAAGAUAGUGCCUGCCCUCCAACGUCUCUGAGAGGAUUAUGAUUUGCCCCUAGAUGCAUAUUUAAUUAGAAGCCUGUCCCUCAGAAUUCAGUGAUGAUGAUUAGUUAAUAGGUCCUCUUCAUAGAGAGACAAGCUCCAGGCUCUGUUGCCUCUCACUGUGCUCUGGCGGUACUAGCUAUUUAAGAACUCUUUCUUCAUUGGUUAUAUAGUCUUGUGGGACCCACAGGCAUAAGCAUCACUGGCCUCCAAAGCCAAACAAUAUAGAAGUGGCCCCUGGAAGCAGCUGCAAAAAUUGGAGUGCCAGACAGAGGUAUGAGCUCCUUUCUGGGCAACAUCAAUUAUUGCAGUCCCAUGGGACCAGGAGCUCAAGCUCCCCUGACCUUCAGAGCCAGACAGUCAAAAGGUAUCCCUUGAGUGGUAGUCACAAAGAUCAGGGCACUAGUCAAGUAUAAAAGCUUCCUUCCAGGAGAUACCAGUGCUCCAGAGCACAGAAAAGGGACAGCAUGAAUAUGGCACCAUUCCAUUUAUGAUAACAUCACUGUGUGAAAUAUAAAGAAAUAAAUUUAACAAAAGAUGUGUAAGAUCCAUGCAAGACAAUGAAAACCACAAAACACUGCUGACAGAAAUGAAAGUUCUAAAUAAAUGGAGCGAUAUGACAUGUUCAUGAAUUAAAAGAUAUCAAUCCUCCCAAAUUAUUCCAUAGAUUUAAUACAAUCCCUAAUAAAAUCCCUGCAGCCUUUUUUGUAGAAAUUGAAAGCAGAUUAUAAAAUUUAUAUGUAUAUACAAAGGAUCUGAACAGCCAAAACAAUUGACAAGCUGCUUAUAAAACUUACAUGAAAAUGUGAAGCAUUUAGAAUAGUCCAAGUAAUUGAGUAAAAGAACAACCUGAGAGGAUUUACACUAUCUGACUUCAAGAGCUCACAUAAUUCUACAGUAAUCAAGGCUAUAUGGUAGCAGCAUAAGAAUUGAGAAAUAGAUCCAUGGAACAGAAUAACAAGCCCAGAAAUAAAUUUCCAUUUAUUUAGUCAUCUAAUAUUCGACAAAUAUGCAAAAGCAACCAAAUGAGGAAAGCCUUUUCAGGAAACAGUGUUGCGAUAACUAGAUAUCCAUAUGGAAAAAAAAAAUGACUUCAGACCCUAUCUGAUAUCAUGCAUAAACAUAAUUUAAACCAUAUAUUUAAAUAUAAAAUCUAAAAUUAGAAGUUGUUAGAGAAAUACACAGAAUGUCUGUAUAACUUGGGAGUAGUCAAAUGUCUUAGGUAGGUCACAGGAGGCAAACCAAAAAAGAAAAUAAAAAAAGUUCCACACAUCAAAUCAAAAGUUCUACAAAAAAAAAAAAAAAAAAAAAAAAAAAAAAA
RNAcentral lists this long non-coding RNA (2903 nucleotides) under Canis lupus familiaris (dog). RNAcentral's name for it is "lncRNA (ENSCAFG00845015013.1)". Lineage: Eukaryota; Metazoa; Chordata; Mammalia; Carnivora; Canidae. The record is from RNAcentral.